RNAcentral lists this ribosomal RNA (492 nucleotides) under uncultured bacterium. RNAcentral's name for it is "partial 16S ribosomal RNA". It matches the Rfam family "Bacterial small subunit ribosomal RNA", at positions 29 to 507 of the family's 1533-position model. The record is from RNAcentral.
AGUGAACGCUGGCGGUAGGCCUAACACAUGCAAGUCGAACGGCAGCACAGUAAGAGCUUGCUCUUACGGGUGGCGAGUGGCGGACGGGUGAGGAAUACAUCGGAAUCUACUUUUUCGUGGGGGAUAACGUAGGGAAACUUACGCUAAUAUCGCAUACGACCUACGGGUGAAAGCAGGGGAUCUUCGGACCUUGCGCGAUUGAAUGAGCCGAUGUCGGAUUAGCUAGUUGGCGGGGUAAAGGCCCACCAAGGCGACGAUCGGUAGCUGGUCUGAGAGGAUGAUCAGCCACACGAGAAGUGAAACACGGUCAAGAGUCCUACGGGAGGCAGCAGUGGGGAAUAUUGGGCAAUGGGCGCAAGCAUGAUCCAGCCAUACCGCGUGGGAGAAAAAGGCCUUCGGGUUGUAAAGCCCUUUUGUUGGGAAAGAAAAGCAGCAGGUUAAUACCCCGCGGUACUGACGGUACCCAAAGAAUAAGCACCGGCUAACUUCGUG